ACUAAGCGUACACGGUGGAUGCCCUGGCAGUCAGAGGCGAUGAAGGACGUGCUAAUCUGCGAUAAGCGCCGGUAAGGUGAUAUGAACCGUUAUAACCGGCGAUUUCCGAAUGGGGAAACCCAGUGUGAUUCGUCACACUAUCAUUAACUGAAUCCAUAGGUUAAUGAGGCGAACCGGGGGAACUGAAACAUCUAAGUACCCCGAGGAAAAGAAAUCAACCGAGAUUCCCCCAGUAGCGGCGAGCGAACGGGGAGGAGCCCAGAGCCUGAAUCAGCAUGUGUGUUAGUGGAAGCGUCUGGAAAGGCGCGCGAUACAGGGUGACAGCCCCGUACACAAAAGCGCAUGUGUUGUGAGCUCGAUGAGUAGGGCGGGACACGUGGUAUCCUGUCUGAAUAUGGGGGGACCAUCCUCCAAGGCUAAAUACUCCUGACUGACCGAUAGUGAACCAGUACCGUGAGGGAAAGGCGAAAAGAACCCCGGCGAGGGGAGUGAAAAAGAACCUGAAACCGUGUACGUACAAGCAGUGGGAGCNUGAGGGAAAGGCGAAAAGAACCCCGGCGAGGGGAGUGAAAAAGAACCUGAAACCGUGUACGUACAAGCAGUGGGAGCCCCACCACUAAGCCAGUGGUGAACUCCACAUACGCAUCCUUUGCUGAGGAUACGGUUAACGGAGCGCAAGCGACGUUCAACCGCAAAAGAAGCAGAGGGGGCUUAGUGGUGGGGUGACUGCGUACCUUUUGUAUAAUGGGUCAGCGACUUAUAUUCUGUAGCAAGGUUAACCGUAUAGGGGAGCCGGAGGGAAACCGAGUCUUAACCGGGCGUUAAGUUGCAGGGUAUAGACCCGAAACCCGGUGAUCUAGCCAUGGGCAGGUUNAGGGAAACCGAGUCUUAACCGGGCGUUAAGUUGCAGGGUAUAGACCCGAAACCCGGUGAUCUAGCCAUGGGCAGGUUGAAGGUUGGGUAACACUAACUGGAGGACCGAACCGACUAAUGUUGAAAAAUUAGCGGAUGACCUGUGGCUGGGGGUGAAAGGCCAAUCAAACCGGGAGAUAGCUGGUUCUCCCCGAAAGCUAUUUAGGUAGCGCCUCGUGAAUUCAUCUCCGGGGGUAGAGCACUGUUUCGGCUAGGGGGCCAUCCCGGCUUACCAACCCGAUGCAAACUGCGAAUACCGGAGAAUGUUAUCACGGGAGACACACGGCGGGUGCUAACGUCCGUCGUGAAGAGGGAAACAACCCAGACCGCCAGCUAAGGUCCCAAAGUCAUGGUUAAGUGGGAAACGAUGUGGGAAGGCCCAGACAGCCAGGAUGUUGGCUUAGAAGCAGCCAUCAUUUAAAGAAAGCGUAAUAGCUCACUGGUCGAGUCGGCCUGCGCGGAAGAUGUAACGGGGCUAAACCAUGCACCGAAGCUGCGGCAGCGAGUAAUAGCUCACUGGUCGAGUCGGCCUGCGCGGAAGAUGUAACGGGGCUAAACCAUGCACCGAAGCUGCGGCAGCGAACGUAUCACUUAAAGCGAUUCAGCGGGUUACGAUUGACGGAGCGAAGCGACGUCAAAGCGUAUACAAAGUCGAGUCGGUUUAAGGAUACGUUCGUUGGGUAGGGGAGCGUUCUGUAAGCCUGUGAAGGUGUGUCGUGAGGCAUGCUGGAGGUAUCAGAAGUGCGAAUGCUNGUUGGGUAGGGGAGCGUUCUGUAAGCCUGUGAAGGUGGCCUGUGAGGGUUGCUGGAGGUAUCAGAAGUGCGAAUGCUGACAUAAGUAACGAUAAAGCGGGUGAAAAGCCCGCUCGCCGGAAGACCAAGGGUUCCUGUCCAACGUUAAUCGGGGCAGGGUGAGUCGACCCCUAAGGCGAGGCCGAAAGGCGUAGUCGAUGGGAAACGGGUUAAUAUUCCCGUACUUGGUGUUACUGCGAAGGGGGGACGGAGAAGGCUAUGUUGGCCGGGCGACGGUUGUCCCGGUUUAAGCGUGUAGGUGUGUGUUCCAGGUAAAUCCGGUUCACUUUAACACUGAGGCGUGAUGACGAGGCACUACGGUGCUGAAGCAACAAAUGCCCUGCUUCCAGGAAAAGCCUCUAAGCAUCAGGUAACAUCAAAUCGUACCCCAAACCGACACAGGUGGUCAGGUAGAGAAUACCAAGGCGCUUGAGAGAACUCGGGUGAAGGAACUAGGCAAAAUGGUGCCGUAACUUCGGGAGAAGGCACGCUGACAUGUAGGUGAAGUGAUUUACUCAUGGAGCUGAAGUCAGUCGAAGAUACCAGCUGGCUGCAACUGUUUAUUAAAAACACAGCACUGUGCAAACACGAAAGUGGACGUAUACGGUGUGACGCCUGCCCGGUGCCGGAAGGUUAAUUGAUGGGGUCAGCGCAAGCGAAGCUCCUGAUCGAAGCCCCGGUAAACGGCGGCCGUAACUAUAACGGUCCUAAGGUAGCGAAAUUCCUUGUCGGGUAAGUUCCGACCUGCACGAAUGGCGUAAUGAUGGCCAGGCUGUCUCCACCCGAGACUCAGUGAAAUUGAACUCGCUGUGAAGAUGCAGUGUACCCGCGGCAAGACGGAAAGACCCCGUGAACCUUUACUAUAGCUUGACACUGAACAUUGAGCCUUGAUGUGUAGGAUAGGUGGGAGGCUUUGAAGCGUGGACGCCAGUCUGCGUGGAGCCGGCCUUGAAAUACCACCCUUUAAUGUUUGAUGUUCUAACGUGGACCCGUGAUCCGGGUUGCGGACAGUGUCUGGUGGGUAGUUUGACUGGGGCGGUCUCCUCCUAAAGAGUAACGGAGGAGCACGAAGGUUGGCUAAUCCUGGUCGGACAUCAGGAGGUUAGUGCAAUGGCAUAAGCCAGCUUGACUGCGAGCGUGACGGCGCGAGCAGGUGCGAAAGCAGGUCAUAGUGAUCCGGUGGUUCUGAAUGGAAGGGCCAUCGCUCAACGGAUAAAAGGUACUCCGGGGAUAACAGGCUGAUACCGCCCAAGAGUUCAUAUCGACGGCGGUGUUUGGCACCUCGAUGUCGGCUCAUCACAUCCUGGGGCUGAAGUAGGUCCCAAGGGUAUGGCUGUUCGCCAUUUAAAGUGGUACGCGAGCUGGGUUUAGAACGUCGUGAGACAGUUCGGUCCCUAUCUGCCGUGGGCGCUGGAGAACUGAGGGGGGCUGCUCCUAGUACGAGAGGACCGGAGUGGACGCAUCACUGGUGUUCGGGUUGUCAUGCCAAUGGCACUGCCCGGUAGCUAAAUGCGGAAGAGAUAAGUGCUGAAAGCAUCUAAGCACGAAACUUGCCCCGAGAUGAGUUCUCCCUGAGACUUAGCUAAAUGCGGAAGAGAUAAGUGCUGAAAGCAUCUAAGCACGAAACUUGCCCCGAGAUGAGUUCUCCCUGAGACUUAGAGUCUCCUGAAGGAACGUUGAAGACGACGACGUUGAUAGGCCGGGUGUGUAAGCGCAGCGAUGCGUUGAGCUAACCGGUACUAAUGAACCGUGAGGCUUAACC
Molecule: ribosomal RNA, 3465 nt
Filed under: Salmonella enterica subsp. enterica serovar Derby
Lineage: Bacteria; Pseudomonadati; Pseudomonadota; Gammaproteobacteria; Enterobacterales; Enterobacteriaceae
Description: bacterial LSU rRNA
Rfam family: Bacterial large subunit ribosomal RNA
Source: RNAcentral